This 341-nucleotide unclassified non-coding RNA is filed under the name soil metagenome. RNAcentral's name for it is "partial contains 5.8S ribosomal RNA, internal transcribed spacer 2, and large subunit ribosomal RNA". The stretch from base 1 to 120 matches the Rfam family "5.8S ribosomal RNA", at positions 35 to 154 of the family's 154-position model. The record is from RNAcentral.
GAUGAAGAACGCAGCGAAAUGCGAUAAGUAGUGCGAAUUGCAGAAUUCAGUGAAUCAUCGAAUCUUUGAACGCACAUUGCGCCCUUUGGUAUUCCAAAGGGCAUGCCUGUUCGAGCGUCAUUUGUACCCUCAAGCUUUGCUUGGUGUUGGGCGUCUUGUCUCUAGCUUUGCUGGAGACUCGCCUUAAAGUAAUUGGCAGCCGGCCUACUGGUUUCGGAGCGCAGCACAAGUCGCACUCUCUAUCAGCAAAGGUCUAGCAUCCAUUAAGCCUUUUUUUCAACUUUUGACCUCGGAUCAGGUAGGGAUACCCGCUGAACUUAAGCAUAUCAAUAAGCGGAGGA